RNAcentral lists this ribosomal RNA (464 nucleotides) under uncultured bacterium. Its description in RNAcentral is "SSU rRNA". It matches the Rfam family "Bacterial small subunit ribosomal RNA", at positions 26 to 518 of the family's 1533-position model. The record is from RNAcentral.
AGGAUUAACGCUGGCGGCGUGCCUAACACAUGCAAGUCGAACGAGGUAGCAAUACCUAGUGGCAGACGGGUGAGUAACGCGUGGUCAACCUACCGUUGAGUGGGGGAUAACUAGCCGAAAGGUUAGCUAAUACCGCAUACGUCUCCGAGGGGCAUCCCUUGGCGAUAAAAGGAGCAAUCCGCUCGAUGACGGGACCGCGUCCCAUUAGCUAGAUGGUGGGGUAACGGCCUACCAUGGCACCGAUGGGUAGCUGGUUUGAGAGAGCGACCAGCCACACUGGGACUGAGAAACGGCCCAGACUCCUACGGGAGGCAGCAGUGAGGAAUUUUCCGCAAUGGGCGCAAGCCUGACGGAGCGACGCCGCGUGUGGGAAGAAGGCCUUCGGGUCGUAAACCACUGUCGAAGGGGACGAUAAUGACGGUACCCUUGGAGGAGCCCCGGCUAACUACGUGCCAGCCAGCCGC